RNAcentral lists this long non-coding RNA (926 nucleotides) under Toxoplasma gondii VEG. Lineage: Eukaryota; Apicomplexa; Conoidasida; Eucoccidiorida; Sarcocystidae. The record is from RNAcentral.
UUGUGUCGGGGGAAAAAGGCUCCCCCUGAUCCUGCCAUUUUCGGAGCGAUGGCGUUCUUUCACUACCCACAGCCCUUCUAGCCGAAGGGUGUAACGCUAUCGCCUUCUCGCAAACGAGGACUCUACUUUUCAGGCAGAACCAAAGGCCACAGAGAGCAGCAGAGAGGCGCACCUCCCACCGCUUGGAUACAACGACGAGACAGUAAGAACGUGAUCUCCUACGUGUGGUAUAGAAAAAGUAGCUGCAGCUUUCCCGGUUGCUGCUUGUUUAAGCUGCCACACUUUCCUCUUUGCAAAGCAGAGAAGGUGGCGAGCCUGUGGAGAAGGACGUCCCACAAGACUGCACACGUGGAGAGGAAACUUGAGCCAUGUCUCCAUCGCUGCCUAGAAACGUACAGUUAGCCGUAGGUGGAUAGGCCGGAAUCACUCUCGGAGAAGGAGGAAAACUCGAGGCAAGAAAUGGGUACUUUCCGGGUGUAACAGAGCCAGAGAAUCUGUGCGGACUCUGUCCGCGUACAGACACAAAGCGGAGGGCGUGUGUGCACCGCCCUAGUGCCCUGACGACCGCUACCUGCAGAAGUCUUGGAAAAAGAGUCGAAAGUGAACUGCUGAGUGCGCCUUGUGCACGAGGUGCGGCGCCAGAAGACAAGGUCGAAGCAUUUCUGUAUAAAUGCGUGAGAGUAACACCUGGGCCUUUCGCUAAACUGCCACAGUGAAUGUGUGCGUUCAGUUUGAGCACCUGCCAGGACACAUUUUCUUGCAAGACCAACUGAGGGCAACAUCGUCCCAUUUUGCAGGGGCUUCCCUGCAGGCUCGUUAUUUCUGUAUCUUCUGCUCAUCGCUGGUUUAUGUGUGUGCCCCUCUGCCCCAAUAAACACCCGACCACAGAGAACUUGCUUGGCAUGAAGAAAGAGUGCUGACACGGC